UCCCAUAUGGUCUAGCAAUUAGGAUUCCUGGUUUUCAACCAGGCGGCCUGGGUUCAACUCCCGGUAUGGGAA
Molecule: transfer RNA, 72 nt
Filed under: Perca fluviatilis (European perch)
Lineage: Eukaryota; Metazoa; Chordata; Actinopteri; Perciformes; Percidae
Rfam family: tRNA
About the family: Transfer RNA (tRNA) molecules are approximately 80 nucleotides in length. Their secondary structure includes four short double-helical elements and three loops (D, anti-codon, and T loops).
Source: Rfam by way of RNAcentral